GAUGAAGAACGUAGCGAAAUGCGAUAAGUAAUGUGAAUUGCAGAAUUCAGUGAAUCAUCGAGUCUUUGAACGCACAUUGCGCCCCCUGGUAUUCCGGGGGGCAUGCCUAUCCGAGCGUCAUUGCUGCCCUCAAGCACGGCUUGUGUGUUGGGCCCCCGUCCCCGGUUUCCCCCGGGGACGGGCCCGAAAGGCAGCGGCGGCACCGCGUCCGGUCCUCGAGCGUAUGGGGCUUUGUCACCCGCUCUGUAGGCCCGGCCGGCGCCAGCCGACACCCAACUUUAUUUCUAAGGUUGACCUCGGAUCAGGUAGGGAUACCCGCUGAACUUAAGCAUAUCAAUAAGCGGAGGA
This 348-nucleotide unclassified non-coding RNA is filed under the name soil metagenome. RNAcentral describes it as "partial contains 5.8S ribosomal RNA, internal transcribed spacer 2, and large subunit ribosomal RNA". The stretch from base 1 to 120 matches the Rfam family "5.8S ribosomal RNA", at positions 35 to 154 of the family's 154-position model. The record is from RNAcentral.